Acanthosepion pharaonis is the source of this 100-nucleotide non-coding RNA. The record is from the annotation of a GenBank genome assembly. NCBI's taxonomy places the organism in Eukaryota, Metazoa, Mollusca, Cephalopoda, Sepiida, Sepiidae.
CGUUGAAACACCGGUUCCUGUAAGAUCACCAAAGUUAAGCAACGUCAAGUCUGGUCAGUACCUAGAUGGGUAACCGCUUGGGAAUAUCAAGUGCUGUAAG